This 448-nucleotide ribosomal RNA is filed under the name Lotus subbiflorus. Its description in RNAcentral is "eukaryotic LSU rRNA". The stretch from base 308 to 448 matches the Rfam family "Eukaryotic large subunit ribosomal RNA", at positions 1 to 141 of the family's 3401-position model. The record is from RNAcentral. Lineage: Eukaryota; Viridiplantae; Streptophyta; Magnoliopsida; Fabales; Fabaceae.
UGCAGAAUCCCGUGAACCAUCGAGUCUUUGAACGCAAGUUGCGCCCGAAGCCAUUAGGUUGAGGGCACGUCUGCCUGGGUGUCACACAUCGUUGCCCCAACGCCAAACGCCUCGAGCUGUGCGGCGUGUGGGGCGAAUGUUGGCCUCCCGCGAGUCCAGGCUCACGGUUGGUUGAAAUUUGGGUCCGUGGUAGGGUAUGCCAUGAUGGAUGGUGGUUGAGUAACGCUCGAGACCGAUCAUGGGAAACCCUAUCUUGCUUGGGCUCUAGUAACCCGUAUGCGUUGGGAAAUAAACAGCGCUCACAAUGAGACCUCAGGUCAGGCGGGGCUACCCGCUGAGUUUAAGCAUAUCAAUAAGCGGAGGAAAAGAAACUAACAAGGAUUCCCUUAGUAACGGCGAGCGAACCGGGAAGAGCCCACCAUGAGAAUCGGUCGCCAUCGGCGUCUGA